UAAUAUUUCAGAAGUUGGCAAAAAAAGGAAAGAAAAAUAGAAAGAGAAAAUAGAAAAGAAAAAAAAUAGAAGGAUGUCAAUACAUGUCAAUAAAUUAUCCUUUUGAAAAAGAAAUAAAAACAAAUAAAAAGAUAAAGGAGAAGAGAAAGCAGUUGUUAUAGAGUUGUUGUUGAAGUGAAUGAAAUCUUUUGUGAAUUCAACUUCUGCAGUUUCUUUCAAGUCUCUUUUGUCUCUUUGAAUUUUAUCCUAGUACUCCUU
RNAcentral lists this long non-coding RNA (258 nucleotides) under Lathyrus oleraceus (garden pea). RNAcentral describes it as "Pisum sativum (pea) long non-coding RNA (PSAT_LNC004405)". The record is from RNAcentral. Lineage: Eukaryota; Viridiplantae; Streptophyta; Magnoliopsida; Fabales; Fabaceae.